Molecule: long non-coding RNA, 368 nt
Filed under: Solanum tuberosum (potato)
Lineage: Eukaryota; Viridiplantae; Streptophyta; Magnoliopsida; Solanales; Solanaceae
Description: long non-coding RNA (STUB_LNC008062)
Source: RNAcentral
UUUUGGCUGGAUUUUCUUGACAAAACUUGAUCCAUUUUCUUCACAAUAUGCAUGAUAUCUUCGUUCUUCACAUAGUCUUUAUCACUGCUGCUUGUCAUGGUUAAAAAUAAAGUUUAAAAUAUAUGGGUUAAAAAUGGUUUAAAAAUAUUUUAUUUUCAUUUUCAAAGAUGUAGCAGUAGGAAUGUUGAAAAUAUGGUUUUAAUCUUUUCUCCACAUGUAGCUGGACAAAAAUCUUCUCUAUCAUCAAAUUAGUUACAAAUUGAUUUGAAACCACUUGAGCUUGUCUUCAACCUCAUUCAAGCAUUAGAUCAUUGAACCAUCGGAUCUUUGAACCAUGUGCUCUGAUACCACUUGUUGGGUUAUGAAGG